This 541-nucleotide ribosomal RNA is filed under the name uncultured bacterium. RNAcentral describes it as "bacterial SSU rRNA". It matches the Rfam family "Bacterial small subunit ribosomal RNA", at positions 355 to 896 of the family's 1533-position model. The record is from RNAcentral.
UAGGGAAUAUUGGUCAAUGGAGGCAACUCUGAACCAGCCAUGCCGCGUGCAGGAAGACAGCCCUAUGGGUCGUAAACUGCUUUUGUACGGGAAUAAACCCCGGUUCGUGAACCGGGCUGAACGUACCGUAAGAAUAAGGAUCGGCUAACUCCGUGCCAGCAGCCGCGGUAAUACGGAGGAUCCGAGCGUUAUCCGGAUUUAUUGGGUUUAAAGGGUGCGUAGGCGGCUCAUUAAGUCAGGGGUGAAAGACGGCAGCUCAACUGUCGCAGUGCCUUUGAUACUGAUGAGCUUGAAUGUGGUUGAAGAUGGCGGAAUGAGACAAGUAGCGGUGAAAUGCAUAGAUAUGUCUCAGAACUCCGAUUGCGAAGGCAGCUGUCUAAGUCAUUAUUGACGCUGAUGCACGAAAGCGUGGGGAUCGAACAGGAUUAGAUACCCUGGUAGUCCACGCCCUAAACGAUGAUAACUCGAUGUUGGCGAUACACAGUCAGCGUCUUAGCGAAAGCGUUAAGUUAUCCACCUGNGGAGUACGCCCGCAAGGGUG